This 1009-nucleotide ribosomal RNA is filed under the name Escherichia coli 1-110-08_S4_C1. RNAcentral's name for it is "bacterial LSU rRNA". It matches the Rfam family "Bacterial large subunit ribosomal RNA", at positions 1922 to 2925 of the family's 2925-position model. Lineage: Bacteria; Pseudomonadati; Pseudomonadota; Gammaproteobacteria; Enterobacterales; Enterobacteriaceae. The record is from RNAcentral.
GGUAAACGGCGGCCGUAACUAUAACGGUCCUAAGGUAGCGAAAUUCCUUGUCGGGUAAGUUCCGACCUGCACGAAUGGCGUAAUGAUGGCCAGGCUGUCUCCACCCGAGACUCAGUGAAAUUGAACUCGCUGUGAAGAUGCAGUGUACCCGCGGCAAGACGGAAAGACCCCGUGAACCUUUACUAUAGCUUGACACUGAACAUUGAGCCUUGAUGUGUAGGAUAGGUGGGAGGCUUUGAAGUGUGGACGCCAGUCUGCAUGGAGCCGACCUUGAAAUACCACCCUUUAAUGUUUGAUGUUCUAACGUUGACCCGUGAUCCGGGUUGCGGACAGUGUCUGGUGGGUAGUUUGACUGGGGCGGUCUCCUCCUAAAGAGUAACGGAGGAGCACGAAGGUUGGCUAAUCCUGGUCGGACAUCAGGAGGUUAGUGCAAUGGCAUAAGCCAGCUUGACUGCGAGCGUGACGGCGCGAGCAGGUGCGAAAGCAGGUCAUAGUGAUCCGGUGGUUCUGAAUGGAAGGGCCAUCGCUCAACGGAUAAAAGGUACUCCGGGGAUAACAGGCUGAUACCGCCCAAGAGUUCAUAUCGACGGCGGUGUUUGGCACCUCGAUGUCGGCUCAUCACAUCCUGGGGCUGAAGUAGGUCCCAAGGGUAUGGCUGUUCGCCAUUUAAAGUGGUACGCGAGCUGGGUUUAGAACGUCGUGAGACAGUUCGGUCCCUAUCUGCCGUGGGCGCUGGAGAACUGAGGGGGGCUGCUCCUAGUACGAGAGGACCGGAGUGGACGCAUCACUGGUGUUCGGGUUGUCAUGCCAAUGGCACUGCCCGGUAGCUAAAUGCGGAAGAGAUAAGUGCUGAAAGCAUCUAAGCACGAAACUUGCCCCGAGAUGAGUUCUCCCUGACUCCUUGAGAGUCCUGAAGGAACGUUGAAGACGACGACGUUGAUAGGCCGGGUGUGUAAGCGCAGCGAUGCGUUGAGCUAACCGGUACUAAUGAACCGUGAGGCUUAACCUU